CUCUUCGCCUCCUCCUUCCGCGACCUUUAAAAAGCCGUCGGGCUGCUCAGGCUGAGGGAGAGAAGCAUGUACGAUACCAUCUUAGGCAAUGUGGAUGUCAAAAAUGGAAGGGCGUGGAAAACAAGGAAUAUUAACUUAGCCAAGAGUGCCUAUUUAACCACAUGAAUCAAAACUGACUUGUAGAAGAUGCCAUCAAACCGGUGCCAGAUAAGAUACUUAGGAGAGGAGAUUUGAUGGAAGCUUAUCCAAUUACGCCUGGCGAAGAAAUUAAACCUAAGGACGAGGCUUCCUUCCUUCCGAGAAAAUGAGAGGUAGAGACCGUCGGAUGAAAUGGACCACGUGGAAACUUAAAACAGAAUUAUGUUGCUGAUGGACAGAGUCCGGUGCCUCUUUGAUAUUGCAUUUCUUUCCAACAUUCCCCUGGGCUGGGAAGAAAGAAAACUUAGUAUUGCAAAAAUCAUCUGAUGCCAGGCCCGAAAACAGUGGUAAACAAACGUUGCAAAAUCAAGAGAUUUUGGAGCACCGAAGGCAAAUGUCGCUCCGGGCCAUGAUGGCCAACACCAGCUGUUUAGAACAGCCUCCCCUUUGAGGUCAGACCAGCUCCUAUCUUGGUUACCUGCACAAUGGCACACAUUAGAGACAGCCUUUCUAGCAGGUUUGUGUUGCAAUGCCAGCUUGUUCGGAGUUUUACAUGUUAUGAGAUGUUUGAUUGCAUUUUGCUGCUCUUGAUUUGCUAGUAUUUUUUUUUUUUUUUUAAAAAAGCAUGGUGCUUUAUCUUGUCGGUAAGGAACCAAGAGUCUGAUUAAAUCCAGCAGGAUAGAAAUCUAAAAUAAUUUAAAAUAAAGGCAGGUAACAUAGCAUCAGUAUGCGUAUCGUAGUUACCCAUUUUGUCUCGCUACAAUAACAACUUCACUAAGUUAUGUUCCUAGUAUGUGCCACAAUAAACAAAUGAUUCAUAGUCAGACUUUCUCAGCUGCGCUUGGAGGAAUAGUUCAAAGAUGUAACUUUGUUGUGGCUGUUGUCGUUGCUGUUGUCAUUGUUAUUGUUGUAACUUACUGCUUGGCUGCCUUCGGUUCAACUUAUGGUUCUCCUUUAAAAUCACGCUUGCCAUCACUUUGAAAGGAUUCAGCAGAAGCUCAGAGCUGGAUUGCUAAAGAACUCUGAAUGUCACCGAAACAUUUUCUCCCAGUUCCGUGACCUCCUUUGUGGUUUUGUGUUGUUGUGAUUUCUCUUUUACUGGUACUGGUGCUGCGUCUGUGCCAAGGAAUUUCAAAAGCAAAUAUUGAAAGGGAUCCGGGUUAUUCUUUUAAAAACAAAGGACGGGGGGGGUGUGUGUUUCUCCAUCCAGCAUCGGGUGUCGGUGUACGUUGGCCCCGAUCCCAUCGCUGACCUUGCCAGAUCUGAAUUCACCCUGGCUUCCAUCUGCUGUGGAGGUAGCUGCUUGGUUCCUGUGUAUCCAUCAUAUGUUGAUUUACUAGAAGUGCCAUGUCCAUCAGAAUAACAGAAUAGAAUAGAAUAGAAUAGAAUAGAAUAGAAUAGAAUAGAAUAGAAUAGAAUAGAAUAGAAUAGAAUAGA
Crotalus tigris (Tiger rattlesnake) is the source of this 1575-nucleotide long non-coding RNA. RefSeq lists it as uncharacterized. NCBI's taxonomy places the organism in Eukaryota, Metazoa, Chordata, Lepidosauria, Squamata, Viperidae. The record is from RefSeq and is a predicted model, not a curated record. The transcript is spliced from 5 exons.